GUCGCUGAUGUGCCAAGUUAUAAAGCAUUUUGCAAAUCUAAGAAGUCUGCUUGUGGCAUUCAUGUGCAUACUCAGCUAUGUGGUACCUGACUUGUAGAAAUUUAGCACCAGUAAGAAAAAUAAAUGUAUAUAAUGAUUUUGAUUUCAUCUCUAUCAAUAUUCUUAGUUGUAUCAUGAGUUCUUCUGACACUAAUGUCAUCUAUAAAUAAGUGAUUAUGUAGACUGAGUGAGUUUGUUUUUAAGCUUCACUUAUGAUGAUGUCUAUUUCAUUCUUUUGCUUGUGAAAGUGUAGUGUUUGCAGUCAGAUGAGAUUUAGGUGAAUGAAAUACCACUGAUUUUUGGUAAACAUAAGAUGACCAUUGGAUACUCUCCUUUAGUUCUCCUUCAAAUGUUGCAUUAAUCCAGAAAACUUAAUCCAGAG
RNAcentral lists this long non-coding RNA (421 nucleotides) under Olea europaea (common olive). RNAcentral's name for it is "long non-coding RNA (OEUR_LNC003222)". Lineage: Eukaryota; Viridiplantae; Streptophyta; Magnoliopsida; Lamiales; Oleaceae. The record is from RNAcentral.